UAACAUUAGACAGCAAGCAUUAUAUUGGACUGAUAUCUGAAAUAAAAAAUAAGUAAAUGGUAUAGACAUGUAAAUUUGCCAUAAACAAGAUUGCUACAAUCUAAGUUUUGAAGAGUAUGCGUAUCACUGGACUAUAUCUCAUACUGUUAAAUAUUGCUGCUGUUCAUGAGAGAAGUUGAGAUGAUAGCUGAUGUUUAUUCACAAAAUGCAGAUAUCUUUGUUGGGUUCAGAUAUUGUAAAAGGUUAAUGAGAUAUUAAGUCACAAGUGGGCAGAAAGUCUCUGAGGUUUACAAGCAGACAGUUAAUAAUGCAGUGUGACAAGCUGCUCUUGUUCUCCAGCUACAUCAGCAGUCCUAAAUGACAGCAGACUACACAGAAGAUUACUCUCAAAAUUAUAAAGUACAUUAGUUUUUGGAAUGGCAAACUGAAGGCUUUUUUUUUUUUUUUUAAUGAUACCCAUUCUGAAAAAGUAAUGAACUUUAUAGGAUUAUUUCAGACUUGCAUCUCUGACUUGUUGCUCUUCUGUCUGGCACCUGUUUUCAGAUUCUCGGAGUCAGCUGAUGUGCCUUUUACCACAUAACAUUUCUAAAACUGUUUAUGUUAUGAAAGAAAGAAAACAGUAUCUGCUUUGUAUGGUUGAUAGAGCAAAUUACAAUUUUCAAAUGGAAAAUACCAUUUAGGCUAGAGAGGAAUAUAUGUGCCCUCAGAAACAUUUGGAGUUUUCUAUUAUUCUCCAAAUUACAAAGAUAAGGAGAGUUAGACUUGACAAGGAAAAUUACUGAGGUGCCCCUGUUCUGUUCUCGCUACGUCCCCAUAAGUGGGAUUUUUAUUUGCUGAAACAGGUCAGCUUUAAAUUGCAGCUAACAUAGCAUGAAAUUCCUGUGGAGCAUGAGGCAAAACAAAACAAAACACCAAAACAAAACCAUUAGCUUAUGGAUUGCUUUUCGGUGCCUUUUUAGCCUUGUAGCCCAAGGUGCAGUGGAAGUUACUGGAUCUACCUGUGGUAUUCAAGCAUCAUCUAAGAAUUACUUGGACACUGAUGCUCAUGACACCAAAGCUCUACGUUCACCAGGCCAGUCUUGCCAAGCUGGAACUGCAGAACACUGCACUAGGAUGAGAGCUGCAGUCAUGCCUGUCCUACAACACCAUCCUUGUGCUGCUGCUAACUGGCUGAGGCAAAGAACAAGCCAACCUUACAGUAUGAAAGAUAUAAGCAACCACUUCUGGUAUAUAAUGUUUGCAAGAAAAAGUAAAACUGAUCUCUAGCCCUAAUGAAGGUAAAUGUACAUAUAUUUAAUAAGUGUUAGAAAAAGGUGCAUUUGCUCUGGAAAAUGAAUUUCCAGGCGGAUAUUGUACAAGCAAGAGAGAAAGGUGAGCAGGCAAAUAAUAAUGUAGUUGUCAAAAAUCGACUUCUUGAUCCGUAUGAAUGUUUAGUAAAGUAUAGUAUAUGUCACAUGUUUUGGCAUUUAAGAUGGUAGAGAGCAGUAACACUCCCAGCUCCCCCUCUUUCCCUUCCUCCAAAUAAGCUGUCUUUCUAGGAAAGAGGCUAGAAAUAAAAUGCUGGAGAAUACCCUGUGGAACUUGGAC
This is a long non-coding RNA of Anser brachyrhynchus (Pink-footed goose), 1587 nucleotides long. NCBI's taxonomy places the organism in Eukaryota, Metazoa, Chordata, Aves, Anseriformes, Anatidae. The record is from Ensembl.